UGGGGAAUUUUGCGCAAUGGGCGAAAGCCUGACGCAGCAACACCGCGUGAGUGAUGAAGGCCCUUGGGUCGUAAAGCUCUGUCAGUGGGAAAGAAGUGUCGGCGGCUAAUACCUGACCGAUUUGACGGUACCCACGAAGGAAGCACCGGCUAACUCCGUGCCAGCAGCCGCGGUAAUACGGAGGGUGCAAGCGUUGUUCGGAUUUAUUGGGCGUAAAGGGCGUGUAGGCGGUUUGCUAAGUCUGAUGUGAAAGCCCUGGGCUCAACCUGGGAAGUGCAUUGGAAACUGGCAGACUUGAGUACGGGAGAGGGCAGUGGAAUUCCUAGUGUAGGAGUGAAAUCCGUAGAUAUUAGGAGGAACACCGGUGGCGAAGGCGGCUGCCUGGACCGAUACUGACGCUGAGACGCGAAAGCGUGGGGAGCAAACAGG
RNAcentral lists this ribosomal RNA (429 nucleotides) under uncultured bacterium. RNAcentral's name for it is "bacterial SSU rRNA". It matches the Rfam family "Bacterial small subunit ribosomal RNA", at positions 355 to 776 of the family's 1533-position model. The record is from RNAcentral.